RNAcentral lists this long non-coding RNA (282 nucleotides) under Gossypium barbadense (sea-island cotton). Its description in RNAcentral is "long non-coding RNA (GBAR_LNC019869)". Lineage: Eukaryota; Viridiplantae; Streptophyta; Magnoliopsida; Malvales; Malvaceae. The record is from RNAcentral.
CCGGAACUAAUCAAAGAAGAAGAUAGAAAUCGGUAACAGAAUCAAGACACUAGAGGGGAAGAGAGAUCAAAAUAACUGAUCAAGAAAAUCAUUAACUAAAAGUCGACAGACACAAUGGAGAGAUGAGAGAAACAGAAAAGGUUUAGCAAGAAGGGAAGAAGAAGAUUGACAGACCAAAAUCGCAAAAGAAGUGGGGGAAAAGAGAAUGAUAUAUUCGGUAGUAAAGGACAAUUCCCCAAAUGAUCAAUUACCCCAACCCAAAAUUCUAAGUAGUCCCCACUC